CUGUCAGUUUGCUCAAACACUUAGCAACUGUGGGUCACAAGGUUGCAAAACACAAAAUGCAAUUGUGUAAAUCAAAGGUUGAUUACUUAGGUUUUGUUCUGGCUUCAGGCACCAGACAAUUGAGUCCAAAACGUAUUGAGGUCAUUCAGAGGAUUCCUAAACCCACUACUCGGAAGGAGUUGCUCACCUUCCUCGGCAUGAUUAAU
Molecule: non-coding RNA, 206 nt
Organism: Pelobates cultripes (western spadefoot toad)
Lineage: Eukaryota; Metazoa; Chordata; Amphibia; Anura; Pelobatidae
Source: the annotation of a GenBank genome assembly